GCUUGUCUCAAAGAUUAAGCCAUGCAUGUCUUAGUGUAAAUAACUCUUAUGAAACUGCGAAUGGCUCAUUAAAUCAGUUAUAAUUUAUUUGAUAGUACCCCUUUACUACUUGGAUAACCGUGGUAAUUCUAGAGCUAAUACAUGCCUUGAAAAGUCCUGACCUUUAUGGAAGGGAUGCAGUUAUUAGAUACAAAACCAACCCGGGCAACCGGUCCUUUGGUGAUUCAUGAUAACUUUGCGAAUCGCAUAGCUUUUUAAUGCUGGCGAUGGGUCAUUCAAAUUUCUGCCCUAUCAACUUUCGACGGUAGGAUAGAGGCCUA
Molecule: ribosomal RNA, 320 nt
Filed under: uncultured fungus
Lineage: Eukaryota; Fungi
Description: partial small subunit ribosomal RNA
Rfam family: Eukaryotic small subunit ribosomal RNA
Source: RNAcentral